AAUUACGAUACUCCAUAUCGUCUUUUAGUCUGUGGUUCGCUUAAAGCCUGAUGCCUUGGCUUGUUUUGGAACUAAUGUCUUUGACGGAGAAGAAACAUAUGAACUAACUGGUCAUUUUUGUGUAAAAUCAGAUCCAGUUUGACAUAUUGCACUUGCAGAUCAUACAGUUUGCACAAGGGCAGCAUGAGAUGAGGGAUGACACUAAUAGAAGACACUAACACAUUUUGACCAUAAAGGACCAAUGGUGCAUGCUUGGAGACGAGGUUUGUGAGAAAAAGACAGCAAAACAAGACCAAAUACAGCAGAAAUGUAAAUUAUUUAGAAACCAGGAACACAAAAUGAAUACAUAAAAACAACCACUGAAAAGUGAAAAUUUGAGUUGCCACCGACUUGGAAAUGACAUCAGAAAACACUUCUCACUGAAGAUCGAUCUGCCCUGGCUUUCUGAUGUCCGAACUCAGGCUCUGUUCCAGUCAUUAUUUUUAAGUAGUAGGUCUUCCAAGUUUCCAUGUUCUACAAAAAUUUUGAGCCGAUGGGUACCUGUUUUUUAAUUUCCUGUCAAGGACCAUGCUGGGAUUCCUCACAAAUUCAAUAAGAGCAAAAUAACCCUGUGUGAUAAACAUCAAAGCUGCCAUGUUUAAAAAGGAAGGACCAUAUGAUGAAAGCACAGGAUGGAGUUCCUAUUGCCAUGCAUUAUACGACUGACAGACUGCAACGGUUGGAGUUAAAAA
Molecule: long non-coding RNA, 731 nt
Organism: Megalobrama amblycephala (Wuchang bream)
Lineage: Eukaryota; Metazoa; Chordata; Actinopteri; Cypriniformes; Xenocyprididae
Exons: 7
Source: RefSeq, a predicted model, not a curated record